UUUGGAGGUCUAUUUAAAUUCCAAUAAAGUUUGAGAAAAACAUGCUCUUCGAGUUGUUGUGGUCUUAGACAGAAUUAUUAUAUUUUUGUAUUUUUUUUUCCAGGUCUUGGGCUCCAUGUAGCACUAAUCAGGCCUUGACUAAAUCAAAAGUCAUUUGAAAGACGCUUCAGCAAUCAAACAGACCAGUUCCCAAGAAAAUGCCUAACAGCUUGAGACUCACCUUGGAUGCCGAGGUGACCUCAUGUACCCGGGUUACACCGUCUGACGUGUUGGUACCGACCGUCUUCCUGCUUCUCAUGAGAUCACAAACAGGAAUCUUCUCUUUGCUCGGAUGCUUCAAAGUAUUUAUUGUGUGUUUUUCUUUGUUAUCGGUCGUCUUUCUGUUUGUUCUCGACUUUUAAAAAGUGAUCAAAUGUUUUGUUGUGUCAUUUUAAAGAGGACGACCCUCUUUA
Molecule: non-coding RNA, 452 nt
Organism: Gasterosteus aculeatus aculeatus (three-spined stickleback)
Lineage: Eukaryota; Metazoa; Chordata; Actinopteri; Perciformes; Gasterosteidae
Source: RefSeq, a predicted model, not a curated record